AGCCAUGUCAAUCUUCAGUUCGUUGAUGAUAUCCCACUCUGAUUCUCCCAUGUGCUGAUGUGGAUUUUGGCGACGGAAAUUCUGAUGCUCAGAAACCCGAUUCCAAUGUGGCUGAGGAGGUGCCUCUGGAGGUGGAGUCAUAGAAAAUGGAUUUCCCUCCAUAUUCAUCUGAGGCCCUUCUUGAUUAACAUUCUCCUGCUGCUGCUCCUGCUCUGCAUCAGAGGGGUAUGAGGAUGUUCCAUCCAUAUCCCAGUCAAAAGAAGCAUUACCUUGUCUUUCGACAUAAGAUUGUAUCAGCUGGUUUAGACUUUCACGGAAACUGCUACGAAGCAGAUUAGAGACUCGCCUCCUGCUUAGCAGUUCUCGAAGUUCGAUGCUAUAAACAUUGUCAUCAUCUGGUAUAUAAAAUGAAUCAACCCUUCCAAUGGACCCAUCAACCUGACCGGAAGGCGUGUCGGACCAGUCAUCAUUUGCCUCUUCAUGCCACUCAUCAUCAUGUGGUUCUUGCGUAUGGUUUUGUUCUUCAAUGCCACCAUCCAAACUUUCUGGAUAAGAUUGGUUAGGAGUCCCUUCCUGCGAAUCUCCGCCCAUGUUUUCUGUCGCGUCAUCUAUCCAUUCAUUCUGAUCAGCAUACAAAUGCUGUGACUCACUUUCCUCAUGUUCUGUUACAAAUUCCUCCAGCUCUUCCGCUUGCUCCAAAUCACUUCCUUCAGGUUCCAGAAUAUAUUCCUGUAGCUCCUCUGCCUGAGCUGAUGAACCUUCCCAGUCAUAAUCUUCAAAGAUAUUUCUAUCCAAAUCACUUCCUUCAGGUUCCAGAAUAUAUUCCUGUAGCUCCUCUGCCUGAGCUGAUGAACCUUCCCAGUCAUAAUCUUCAAAGAUAUUUCUA
Molecule: unclassified non-coding RNA, 886 nt
Filed under: Hevea brasiliensis (rubber tree)
Lineage: Eukaryota; Viridiplantae; Streptophyta; Magnoliopsida; Malpighiales; Euphorbiaceae
Source: RNAcentral